Oncorhynchus keta (chum salmon) is the source of this 570-nucleotide long non-coding RNA. RefSeq lists it as uncharacterized. Lineage: Eukaryota; Metazoa; Chordata; Actinopteri; Salmoniformes; Salmonidae. The record is from RefSeq and is a predicted model, not a curated record. The transcript is spliced from 4 exons.
CCACCACCACUCAGAUCACCAAGACGGUGAAAGGAGGCAUCUCAGAGACUCGCAUUGAGAAGAGGAUUGUGAUAACUGGAGACACAGAGAUUGAUCACGACAAGGCUCUGGCCCAGGCCAUCAAGGAGGCGAAGGAGCAGCACCCGGACAUGUCUGUGACCAAAGUGGUGGUGCAUCCAGGAAACAGGGAUCACCCCAGAUUAACCCCAGGCUCACCUCUCCUAUAACCAGCUGGGGGCCAAAACUACCACGGCGCCUGAGGAAGGUGAACUCACACACAUCCCCCGCCCGUCCUGACCUUCUCUGCUUGUUUCACCGCCAUUCCUGCUUGACUUACUCUCAGAGACCCCCACCCCCACCUUGGGAACAGACACCAGACACACACACCACACCAGACUGGAACCGGUCCAACCUGCCAGAGAGAACAAGCUUCACUUUUCAACUAUGAACUUUGAACCUCCCAACCAAUGGGAGUUCAACUGAAGGAAAAGGGAACAAACAGAACUCUCCAAAAACUCAGAAUUCCCUAUGACUACCCACAAUCCCUCUCUCUCUCUCUCUCUCUCUCUC